GACGAACGCUGGCGGCGUGCUUAACACAUGCAAGUCGAACGGAAAGGCCCUGCUUUUGUGGGGUGCUCGAGUGGCGAACGGGUGAGUAACACGUGAGUAUCCUGCCCUUGACUUUGGGAUAACUUCAGGAAACUGGGGCUAAUACCGGAUAGGAGCUCCUGCUGCAUGGUGGGGGUUGGAAAGUUUCGGCGGUUGGGGAUGGACUCGCGGCUUAUCAGCUUGUUGGUGGGGUAGUGGCUUACCAAGGCUUUGACGGGUAGCCGGCCUGAGAGGGUGACCGGCCGCAUUGGGACUGAGAUACGGCCCAGACUCCUACGGGAGGCAGCAGUGGGGAAUAUUGCACAAUGGGCGGAAGCCUGAUGCAGCAACGCCGCGUGCGGGAUGACGGCCUUCGGGUUGUAAACCGCUUUCGCCUGUGACGAAGCGUGAGUGACGGUAAUGGGUAAAGAAGCACCGGCUAACUACGUG
Molecule: ribosomal RNA, 468 nt
Filed under: uncultured bacterium
Lineage: Bacteria
Description: partial 16S ribosomal RNA
Rfam family: Bacterial small subunit ribosomal RNA
Source: RNAcentral